This is a long non-coding RNA of Serinus canaria (Common canary), 1659 nucleotides long. RefSeq lists it as uncharacterized. Lineage: Eukaryota; Metazoa; Chordata; Aves; Passeriformes; Fringillidae. The transcript is spliced from 5 exons. The record is from RefSeq and is a predicted model, not a curated record.
GUGUGUGUAUACACAAAUAAUGCUGACUGCUUCUUAUUCUGCUUCAGUGCAGCGAGCACAUUUCAGCUAACACACCUUUGUGCCACCUUUUCACCUGUGUCUCUCUUAUUCUACAGCCCCCCGAGCUGGCGGCUCAGCCGCUGUGUGAGACAUCCGACGGCCCCGGGAGCAGCCGAGGGGCACGAAGCACAGCGGAGGACAUCCAUGUGCUCCUGCCUCCCUUUGCCAGCACCCUGACGGUCACUUCAAGAUCACAAGCAUCUGCACAAGAUUCAAGGUAGAGGUGUACUGGGGUCUUCAGUGGUGGUACAAGAAAGGAGGAAUUGAAGAAGAGGGAUAGCAGAGUCAAAAGCUACACAGGAAACUAAUCAUCCUCCAAUUGGCAUUUCUCCUCAGAACUCUGAAAAGUGCUUGGGGAGAAAAGAGCAGCACAGAGGAGCAAAAGAAAUAAAAGAAAAAAGGCAGCUGGAAGAAGUUAAGAAGCCCAGAUGGGUCUUCUUCUUGAUGCUUCCCUCACUAGCCAGCACUCCUACCCUUUCCCAGAAUGGCACCAACCAACCAAAUGCCUGAAGCCUCAGACCUACACCCAGAUCUGCUGACCACAAACGUGAAAAAAUCUGCAGUUUCUUCAUAUGUGAUAAUGCCUGUAUUUGAGCACCAUAGACUACUUCACCCAGAAAAAGGUUUUUUCCCUACAACCACUUUUCCCUUCAGAGUUCAGUUUACAUUGCUCUCCACAGAGGACCUUUGAGCCCCCUCAGCUCUUAGGACUCUUGACCUGGAUUCAACCUCUGUCAUACCCAUCUCUAUGGGUGAUGCUAAAGAGUUUCCUAAGCACAGUUUCCAAGGUCAGAUGGAAAGCAGAAUUUGAAUCCAUAUUCCAUAACACUUCCAACUGCAGGGGAAGUCCUAAAUAGCUUCUUUCAUCACCAGCCACACUGAGGACAAGGAUGUGACUUCUUGUUCACAAGAAUGCUUCUGUUGUGAGAACCCUUCCGUGUUCAAGGACUUCCUUUGAGAAACAGGAAUUACAAGUUUGUGUCUGCGGUUUCUAUAUGAAGAUGAUCGCUAGAAACUAGAAACGUCGCUGAGCUUGAGCGUGAACAGGAGGGUCUGCCUCUCAUUGCUUUACCAGCAGGUGACCCUCACAGGGCAACACUUCUCUCUACUUUGAGAAGUACUUGCUAAAAGAGAGGGUUCUGAAAUGCCCAGGAACUUUGUUACUUUUAUGUCCUCCUGCCACUUUUUGCACUGAGCACACUGAUCACAUAUUGUCUCUGCUCUAGCUGAGACCCAGAAGGGGAAUCAUUCUGCUGUGUUUAGUUACACAUUCAUACACAUGGAGUUAGUCCUACCAAAGCUUACAUUUGCAGCUGGCAAAAAAGCCAUAUAACUUAUUAUUUUAUCUUGCCUCCAGUCUUUGGUGAAUGCUUGUGAAUGCCAUGGAACAGGGAGAGAGAAGCAGCAAGCGUUUCUCACAGCGGCUUGUGAGAAAUUUUAGAGAGUUAGAAAGGUGUGAUAACCUGAUGACUAUAAGCAAUUUACAGGUGCUGUUUUUCUACUUUGUUUUUCUGUUCCUCUCAAGGACAGUGUGUGAGAAAGAUGUUUCUGUUAGCCAGUAGAAUAGAAUCUAUUGUACCUCUCUAUAAAAACCACGUG